Molecule: signal recognition particle RNA, 97 nt
Filed under: Cellvibrionales bacterium TMED47
Lineage: Bacteria; Pseudomonadati; Pseudomonadota; Gammaproteobacteria; Cellvibrionales
Also listed under: 1 other name
Description: signal recognition particle sRNA small type
Rfam family: Bacterial small signal recognition particle RNA
About the family: The signal recognition particle (SRP) is a universally conserved ribonucleoprotein involved in the co-translational targeting of proteins to membranes. Archaeal SRP consists of a 7S RNA and homologues of the eukaryotic SRP19 and SRP54 proteins.
Source: RNAcentral
CUUUGGUCCCCUCGCAAUAGACGACUAUUAACUCCGCCAGGCCCGGAAGGGAGCAACGGUAGUAGUUAUUCUGUGUGCCGAGGUGUGGCUAUUGGGG